CCUACGGGGGGCAGCAGUGGGGAAUCUUGCGCAAUGGGCGAAAGCCUGACGCAGCAAUGCCGCGUGAGGGAAGAAGGCCUUAGGGUCGUAAACCUCUUUCAGUAGGGACGAAAUUGACGGUACCUACAGAAGAAGCCCCGGCUAACUACGUGCCAGCAGCCGCGGUAAUACGUAGGGGGCGAGCGUUGUCCGGAAUCAUUGGGCGUAAAGCGCGUGUAGGCGGACUGACAGGUCUGGUGUGAAAGCCCGGGGCUCAACCCCGGAGGGUCACUGGAAACCGGCAGCCUCGAGUCCGGAAGAGGAGUGUGGAAUUCCUGGUGUAGCGGUGGAAUGCGCAGAUAUCAGGAGGAACACCUAUGGCGAAGGCAGCACUCUGGUACGUGACUGACGCUGAGACGCGAAAGCGUGGGGAGCGAACAGGAUUAGAUACCCUUGUAGUC
RNAcentral lists this ribosomal RNA (440 nucleotides) under uncultured bacterium. Its description in RNAcentral is "bacterial SSU rRNA". It matches the Rfam family "Bacterial small subunit ribosomal RNA", at positions 338 to 795 of the family's 1533-position model. The record is from RNAcentral.